This 459-nucleotide ribosomal RNA is filed under the name uncultured bacterium. RNAcentral's name for it is "partial 16S ribosomal RNA". It matches the Rfam family "Bacterial small subunit ribosomal RNA", at positions 338 to 795 of the family's 1533-position model. The record is from RNAcentral.
CCUACGGGAGGCAGCAGUGAGGAAUAUUGGUCAAUGGGCGCGAGCCUGAACCAGCCAAGUCGCGUGAGGGAAGACGGUCCUAUGGAUUGUAAACCUCUUUUGUCGGGGAGCAAAAGACGCCACGCGUGGCGUUCCGAGAGUACCCGAAGAAAAAGCAUCGGCUAAAUCCGUGCCAGCAGCCGCGGUAAUAAGGAGGAUGCGAGCGUUAUCCGGAGUUCUUGGGUUUAAAGGGGGCGCAGGCGGAAGAUCAAGUCAGCGGUAAAAUUGAGAGGCUCAACCUCUUCGAGCCGUUGAAACUGGUGUUGUUGAGUGAGUGAGAAGUAUGCGGAAUGCGUGGUGUAGCGGUGAAAUGCAUAGAUAUCACGCAGAACUCCGAUUGCGAAGGCAGCAUACCGGCGCUCAACUGACGCUCAUGCACGAAAGUGUGGGUAUCGAACAGGAUUAGAUACCCGGGUAGUC